RNAcentral lists this ribosomal RNA (253 nucleotides) under uncultured bacterium. RNAcentral describes it as "partial 16S ribosomal RNA". It matches the Rfam family "Bacterial small subunit ribosomal RNA", at positions 524 to 776 of the family's 1533-position model. The record is from RNAcentral.
UACGAAGGGGGCUAGCGUUGUUCGGAUUUACUGGGCGUAAAGCGCACGUAGGCGGGUUGUUAAGUCAGGGGUGAAAUCCUGGAGCUCAACUCCAGAACUGCCUUUGAUACUGGCAACCUAGAGGCUGGAAGAGGUUAGUGGAAUUCCCAGUGUAGAGGUGAAAUUCGUAGAUAUUGGGAAGAACACCAGUGGCGAAGGCGGCUAACUGGUCCAGAUCUGACGCUGAGGUGCGAAAGCGUGGGGAGCAAGCAGG